UCCUGGGCAUAAUUUAUUUUUUUUUUGCAUAGGCAUAAAUUAGAAUCUGGAGAUAAAAAAUUCAGAACCAAUAGUGCAGCAUUUGUGACAGGAGAGCGCAAAAUGAAACCUGGUUGUCUGGGGGGGGGGGGGGGGGGGGGGGGGGGGGGGCNGGGGGCUGAGCUGGGGCCAGUGCCAAAGGCCCACAGGUGGCCUUAGGCCUCACCUUCCUUCUAGCUCCAUCCCCUUGGAGCCCAUUUGGGGCUCAGCCCUGUUCUUACGGCACCUGCCCGCACCGCAGCCCCCCCUGGCAGCCAGGUUACAAGGAACUGAAAUCACCCGGUGCCCCACAGAACGGGGCUAGGAAUCAAGCCCAAAGCUUUUCAGUUAAAAAACAGACCUUGAAAAAUAUAUACAUAAUACAGCAGAGUCUGCUGGGUCUCAAAGCCCUCUCUUCCCCCAGCCCACACCCCUGACAGCACCCCACCCCCCCUAGAAAACGAGCCAGAAAGGAAACAAUCUGAGCAAGAGCUGAGAGUCUCAAGGGAGUAGCUGAGCCCCUUACAGUCAGGUGGUGGUGGGACAAGGCCCACAGUGCGGACAGGCCUCUUCCCACCACGACAUCCUGAAUGUCACCAUCAUUCUCAUUGGACCAUCCCGAGAGUCUGGGGAGUAUGCUGCUCCCCACCCUUUUAAGCUUACCCCAGCUGCUUAUGGCCUCAAAAGGCAGGUCUGGGCUCCCUGCACCUUGGGGGAAUGUGGCAAGCUUGCUCUGGGGCACAGGCAUGCCCUAGCAGGAAUGGGGAGCAGAGUGGGCCUCGGUCCCAACAUCAGGGGAGAGAGAAAGCACUAACCCCAGCAGAGGGGGAAUCCUACUGGCUGCCCCCGUGACCCCUCAGAGCCAGAGAGGCAGCCUCCCUUAGAGGCUCCUAGGAGCCCGACCCUCAAGGGUAUGAGAAGCCCCGUGGCCCACUCUGACCCAGAACACAUACAGUGUAGAGAGAGGCCUUUGGGGGACGUUAGGGGGUCAAGCUCCAUAGGUUGAUGGCACUAGAUUUCUGGAAGAGCCCGGCUGCCCUGCACAAGCAGCUUCCUGCCUGGGGCUCAGCCCCAGCCUGCACUGUGAGCACCUUCCUCCUAGAGGACGUCACUUCCCUGCCAGGUGAUAGGGGCAGCUCACCUGCCCCAGGCCCUUGCUUGUCCCACCCAUGGCUUUGGCACCUGCUUCAUUCACACGCCUACCAACCGCAGCUCCUUGGGUGCCAGCCCCCCAUCCUGGGUAAGGGGCAGACAGGUUUCACCCACCUCUGCUGGGACGACAUAUGUCCACUCACUGCCUCUCCCCCUGCCUCACGAUCCCCCAUGAUAUGCUACAUAUAUACACCCUCCCAAGAGGGGGAAGUAGACACCCAGUGCCUGGCACAAGGAGGUCACAAAAAGGGACGCUGGAACUUGCUGUCUACCUCGAGCUGCCCCGCGCUAGGAAAGCCCUGCAUAUUCUUUCUUGUCUCCAUCGGGCCAGAGGUUCUUGCUCCUGGAAGUCAGUGCGCUGGUCAAGCAUGUGGGGAAGGGGCAGGGGUGCUGCUCUCCCACUCCCAGAGAAGGGGGCACGUGCUGGGAGGGGCUGGCCUCCCAGCUGGCUGGCAGCAGCACAGAGAAGGCCUAGUGGGUGGGUUCCCCAUGCACCCGGAAGCGGUAGAUGCAGGUGUACUCGGGGUGGCCCCAGUUAGUCAAGAUCCGAAGCUCCACCACCUGGUAUGUGGCCAUUUUAGUGUCCUGGGUAGAGAAAGAAGGUGUUAAGAGUGUCCCAAGCCCUCAGACCUCGCUGACAGGAGGGCAGAGAGGGGGACAGCCACCCCCAGGGUCCGAUGCCUCCCUCCCCCACCCCUCCCAUAGGCCUCCACAGCGAACUGGACUGCAAAGCUCCUGUCUUCAGAUCGUGGAGCAGAGUUUCCAGCUUGUGGGCCAAGGAGUCCCAGGGGCUUCAGAGGUCCUCUAGGGGCCAUGACCCACAGCCACAUAAAAAUGGCCUUGUAGCUGAGGACCAGCCAGAUUCAUUCCAGACAGAUUCACAGGAGCUCUUUAUCAUGGUCAAGGGACACAAUCACUGUCACAGAGGAUCUGAUACAUGUUGACGGUGGAAAAGAAUCCUUUUACUCUGAAUUAGGCAGAGUUUUCUUCCUCAAGUUCUUAGCAGGCCUCUGUCCUCUUUGCUCCAAAAGCCACGAUUUUUGAGCUUUCGGAGCAAAUGGCCCCCAGUUCGACGCCAACAGACACAGCGCUUUCCCGUUCCCUUCCCGUCCUCUGGCCUUCCGCACAGCCGCUUUUCCUCCACUGUCUCCUAAAGGCUCGGUCAGCACACAUGCCCCGGACGUCCUAGGCACUCCCAUGGCUCAGUCUUUGGUCCCCUGGUGGCUGCAUGGGACUGGCCCACAGGUGCCUCAGACUUGGUGGCCAAACCCACUCCUGCAUUAGCCUGCCUCUUGGCACCUGGGACAGUCCUCCCCUCCACCUUCUCCACUUCUGUCCAGUCUGACACUUGCAACUGUGUAUCUACCUCCUCUCCAUCCUCACUCCCGACACUCUCCGCAGCCACUUCCUGACCGGUCUUGUCCCCUGGGUGCACCGUUCACACGGUCACAUGAUCUGACUACAGCGCACAGUCUUGUCACUUCUCUGCCUAAAACGUGGCAGUGCCCACCCCAGCCCCGAGGGCCAGAACUCUUUGGCCUGGUAGCCAGGCCUGCCCCUCUCCGGCCUCCCUUCCCACCACUGUCCCUUUGCCACCUCACCCAAUUCUUCACCCCUAGUGUAGCUCUCAAGCCCCCGGCACAGCUUUCAACUGGGCUGUCAGAACAUUGAUUUCUUGGGGCUGCCGGGAUCUGGGAGCCUAUCUCCUGGGGUGGAGACUGGCAAUCUGCAUUUCUAACAAGGCCCUGGGAGACUGAUGCCCAUUCAAAUUGAGGCCAGAAGUCUCCCUCAGAGCCCUAGCCGUGCGGCACUGCCUGAGGCCUAGGAGGAGCACCCUCUGACAACUGCCCCUGGCUCCCCGUCCGGGAUGGGCCCCUCUGUGUGGAUGUCUAUGUGGUGCCUCUCCUGUGCCACUUGGACAGCUGUCCCUGUUCCUUGCCUCGAACUGUGGGGAGGCAGGGGCUGUGCCUAUUCUUGACCUGAGCCCGCGGUGCCUGACACGGAGUAAGUGCUUGGAAACCAUCUGCCGAACGGACAGGAAGCUGAAUAUACCAUUCCGCUGGCACAGCGGAGUCCCAUACCUGAAAAUAAAAGGUCUGAAUGGGCUCCCCAUCCUGGUCGUAGGUGAACUGGCCAAGAAGUGUCCCCUCUUGCUGCGCAUCUUCAUCAAAUCCCUGAAAAGAGAACAAAGGAUGGAGGGAAGAUCUUGCUCUUAGACAAGUGCCCCAGUCACCCGGGGAAGAAUGCUCUCCCUUCCUGUUCCCACACUGGGUCCCCCGCCCCCGAGCAGAUCAGCGCCAGCCUUGGUAGGACUACAGGGGCCUGAGCACUGGACGUGGGUUCUUCCAGCGCAGCCUAAGCUACCAUUUCCCAGGCUGGGGCUAUCCCUUCCAGAUCUGCCCCCUUCCUCCCAAAUAACGGUCCUGGCUCUAUCCUUAGUAAAGACUCACAGGGUCCCGUAGCCCCUCUGACCCCCCAAAGGUAGAAUACUCACAAAGAUGGCAAAGUCCUUGGGGGCACUGGAGAUGGUGCUGUUGGGGGACAAGGACUUGGGGACAUGCUCUAAGGUGACAGCAGUGGGGCGGAUGCGGGCAGAAAGGCGAACCACAGCAAAGCCCUGGGGCCCCUGGAAGGCCCAGCAGUUGCCUGGGUGCACAUCUGGCUGGGGGGACGAGGAGGAAAGGAAGUCACAUCAGCACGGGGCGGGUGACAAAGACGGCCCACCCUGAGCACGGCUUUUGCUGGCUCAGGACGGGAGUCACCCAGCUACGUAGGCGACCUGCUCGGGGCCCCUGCUGCUGCCCUCACGGGUACCUACCUGGAGAAUGACUCGGGGCGACUGGGAAUGGUACCACAGGGGGAUGCCGAAGAGACUGAGGAGGGCCGUCUUGGUCUCAUAGGUCUCAGAACAUCGGGUGCUGAUAACACUAGCCCCU
RNAcentral lists this long non-coding RNA (4106 nucleotides) under Lynx pardinus (Iberian lynx). The record is from RNAcentral. Lineage: Eukaryota; Metazoa; Chordata; Mammalia; Carnivora; Felidae.